This 2821-nucleotide ribosomal RNA is filed under the name Escherichia coli. RNAcentral's name for it is "partial 23S ribosomal RNA". It matches the Rfam family "Bacterial large subunit ribosomal RNA". The record is from RNAcentral. Lineage: Bacteria; Pseudomonadati; Pseudomonadota; Gammaproteobacteria; Enterobacterales; Enterobacteriaceae.
CCGUUAUAACCGGCGAUUUCCGAAUGGGGAAACCCAGUGUGUUUCGACACACUAUCAUUAACUGAAUCCAUAGGUUAAUGAGGCGAACCGGGGGAACUGAAACAUCUAAGUACCCCGAGGAAAAGAAAUCAACCGAGAUUCCCCCAGUAGCGGCGAGCGAACGGGGAGGAGCCCAGAGCCUGAAUCAGUGUGUGUGUUAGUGGAAGCGUCUGGAAAGGCGUGCGAUACAGGGUGACAGCCCCGUACACAAAAAUGCACAUAUUGUGAGCUCGAUGAGUAGGGCGGGACACGUGGUAUCCUGUCUGAAUAUGGGGGGACCAUCCUCCAAGGCUAAAUACUCCUGACUGACCGAUAGUGAACCAGUACCGUGAGGGAAAGGCGAAAAGAACCCCGGCGAGGGGAGUGAAAAAGAACCUGAAACCGUGUACGUACAAGCAGUGGGAGCCUCUUAAUGGGGUGACUGCGUACCUUUUGUAUAAUGGGUCAGCGACUUAUAUUCUGUAGCAAGGUUAACCGAAUAGGGGAGCCGAAGGGAAACCGAGUCUUAACUGGGCGUUAAGUUGCAGGGUAUAGACCCGAAACCCGGUGAUCUAGCCAUGGGCAGGUUGAAGGUUGGGUAACACUAACUGGAGGACCGAACCGACUAAUGUUGAAAAAUUAGCGGAUGACUUGUGGCUGGGGGUGAAAGGCCAAUCAAACCGGGAGAUAGCUGGUUCUCCCCGAAAGCUAUUUAGGUAGCGCCUCGUGAAUUCAUCUCCGGGGGUAGAGCACUGUUUCGGCAAGGGGGUCAUCCCGACUUACCAACCCGAUGCAAACUGCGAAUACCGGAGAAUGUUAUCACGGGAGACACACGGCGGGUGCUAACGUCCGUCGUGAAGAGGGAAACAACCCAGACCGCCAGCUAAGGUCCCAAAGUCAUGGUUAAGUGGGAAACGAUGUGGGAAGGCCCAGACAGCCAGGAUGUUGGCUUAGAAGCAGCCAUCAUUUAAAGAAAGCGUAAUAGCUCACUGGUCGAGUCGGCCUGCGCGGAAGAUGUAACGGGGCUAAACCAUGCACCGAAGCUGCGGCAGCGACACUAUGUGUUGUUGGGUAGGGGAGCGUUCUGUAAGCCUGUGAAGGUGGCCUGUGAGGGUUGCUGGAGGUAUCAGAAGUGCGAAUGCUGACAUAAGUAACGAUAAAGCGGGUGAAAAGCCCGCUCGCCGGAAGACCAAGGGUUCCUGUCCAACGUUAAUCGGGGCAGGGUGAGUCGACCCCUAAGGCGAGGCCGAAAGGCGUAGUCGAUGGGAAACAGGUUAAUAUUCCUGUACUUGGUGUUACUGCGAAGGGGGGACGGAGAAGGCUAUGUUGGCCGGGCGACGGUUGUCCCGGUUUAAGCGUGUAGGCUGGUUUUCCAGGCAAAUCCGGAAAACCAAGGCUGAGGCGUGAUGACGAAGCACUACGGUGCUGAAGCGACAAAUGCCCUGCUUCCAGGAAAAGCCUCUAAGCAUCAGGUAACAUCAAAUCGUACCCCAAACCGACACAGGUGGUCAGGUAGAGAAUACCAAGGCGCUUGAGAGAACUCGGGUGAAGGAACUAGGCAAAAUGGUGCCGUAACUUCGGGAGAAGGCACGCUGAUAUGUAGGUGAAGCGACUUGCUCGUGGAGCUGAAAUCAGUCGAAGAUACCAGCUGGCUGCAACUGUUUAUUAAAAACACAGCACUGUGCAAACACGAAAGUGGACGUAUACGGUGUGACGCCUGCCCGGUGCCGGAAGGUUAAUUGAUGGGGUUAGCGGUAACGCGAAGCUCUUGAUCGAAGCCCCGGUAAACGGCGGCCGUAACUAUAACGGUCCUAAGGUAGCGAAAUUCCUUGUCGGGUAAGUUCCGACCUGCACGAAUGGCGUAAUGAUGGCCAGGCUGUCUCCACCCGAGACUCAGUGAAAUUGAACUCGCUGUGAAGAUGCAGUGUACCCGCGGCAAGACGGAAAGACCCCGUGAACCUUUACUAUAGCUUGACACUGAACAUUGAGCCUUGAUGUGUAGGAUAGGUGGGAGGCUUUGAAGUGUGGACGCCAGUCUGCAUGGAGCCGACCUUGAAAUACCACCCUUUAAUGUUUGAUGUUCUAACGUUGGCCCGUAAUCCGGGUUGCGGACAGUGUCUGGUGGGUAGUUUGACUGGGGCGGUCUCCUCCUAAAGAGUAACGGAGGAGCACGAAGGUUGGCUAAUCCUGGUCGGACAUCAGGAGGUUAGUGCAAUGGCAUAAGCCAGCUUGACUGCGAGCGUGACGGCGCGAGCAGGUGCGAAAGCAGGUCAUAGUGAUCCGGUGGUUCUGAAUGGAAGGGCCAUCGCUCAACGGAUAAAAGGUACUCCGGGGAUAACAGGCUGAUACCGCCCAAGAGUUCAUAUCGACGGCGGUGUUUGGCACCUCGAUGUCGGCUCAUCACAUCCUGGGGCUGAAGUAGGUCCCAAGGGUAUGGCUGUUCGCCAUUUAAAGUGGUACGCGAGCUGGGUUUAGAACGUCGUGAGACAGUUCGGUCCCUAUCUGCCGUGGGCGCUGGAGAACUGAGGGGGGCUGCUCCUAGUACGAGAGGACCGGAGUGGACGCAUCACUGGUGUUCGGGUUGUCAUGCCAAUGGCACUGCCCGGUAGCUAAAUGCGGAAGAGAUAAGUGCUGAAAGCAUCUAAGCACGAAACUUGCCCCGAGAUGAGUUCUCCCUGAGACUUAGAGUCUCCUGAAGGAACGUUGAAGACGACGACGUUGAUAGGCCGGGUGUGUAAGCGCAGCGAUGCGUUGAGCUAACCGGUACUAAUGAACCGUGAGGCUUAACCUUACAACGCCGAAG